Molecule: unclassified non-coding RNA, 321 nt
Organism: Cricetulus griseus (Chinese hamster)
Lineage: Eukaryota; Metazoa; Chordata; Mammalia; Rodentia; Cricetidae
Gene: 7SK
Rfam family: 7SK RNA
About the family: 7SK was discovered as an abundant small nuclear RNA in the mid-70s but a possible function has only recently been suggested. Two independent studies have found that 7SK RNA binds the CDK9/cyclin T complex (known as elongation factor P-TEFb).
Source: Ensembl
GGCUGUGGGGGUGAUCUGGCAGUGCUAUCCAGCACCCCACUAAACACAAGGAUGAUGCUGCUGACCUGGUCAGUGAGGUAGGUGUCCCCUUCCUCCCUCACGUUCCCUGAGUGCUCGGUGAGGAUGGCCUUCCUCUCUCCAUAGAUGACUGCUCUUCAGCCAAGAGAAUACAAGUGGCUACAUGCCUCUGCUGGAACUCCAAACAAGCUCCCAAAGUCAACCAAACAACCCAGUUACACUAUCAUAAUGAACGUAUAUAGGAGUAAGUUUUCAAAUAUUUGUUUAUUUCAUACGUAUGUGUGAGUGCUUGCAUGUAUGUAU